Molecule: non-coding RNA, 118 nt
Organism: Triticum urartu
Lineage: Eukaryota; Viridiplantae; Streptophyta; Magnoliopsida; Poales; Poaceae
Source: Rfam
AACGCCCCGAUAAUCAUGCUCAGACUUGGCGGAACGACAUGAUUUAACGGGGCGUAGGCACAAAACCUAAAAAGGAUAUUAGCACAUGAGACGUGCAACACAACAGCCCGCCAUAAGC